ACUGAGGGUGCAAGCGUUAAUCGGAAUUACUGGGCGUAAAGCGAGUGUAGGCGGCUAUUUAAGUCGGAUGUGAAAGCCCCGGGCUCAACCUGGGAAUUGCAUUCGAAACUGAAUAGCUAGAGUUUGGUAGAGGUAAGUGGAAUUCCGGGUGUAGCGGUGAAAUGCGUAGAUAUCCGGAGGAACAUCAGUGGCGAAGGCGGCUUACUGGACCAAAACUGACGCUGAGGCUCGAAAGCGUGGGGAGCAAACAGG
RNAcentral lists this ribosomal RNA (252 nucleotides) under uncultured bacterium. RNAcentral's name for it is "partial 16S ribosomal RNA". It matches the Rfam family "Bacterial small subunit ribosomal RNA", at positions 525 to 776 of the family's 1533-position model. The record is from RNAcentral.